CAUCAGUACCGGAGAUAACCCCNU
This 24-nucleotide ribosomal RNA is filed under the name Fusarium sp. SS-2012b. RNAcentral describes it as "partial 28S ribosomal RNA". The record is from RNAcentral. Lineage: Eukaryota; Fungi; Ascomycota; Sordariomycetes; Hypocreales; Nectriaceae.